RNAcentral lists this ribosomal RNA (440 nucleotides) under uncultured bacterium. RNAcentral's name for it is "partial 16S ribosomal RNA". It matches the Rfam family "Bacterial small subunit ribosomal RNA", at positions 338 to 795 of the family's 1533-position model. The record is from RNAcentral.
CCUACGGGUGGCAGCAGUGGGGAAUAUUGCACAAUGGGCUAAACCCUGAUGCAGCGACGCCGCGUGAGUGAAGAAUUCUCUCUGUGCGGAAAACUCUAUCAGCAGGGGAGAAAAUGACGGUACCUGACUAAGAAGCCCCAGCUAACUACGUACCAGCAUCCGCCGUAAUACGUAGGGGGCACGCGGUAUCCGGAUUGACUGGGUGUAAAGGGAGCGUAGACGGCAGCACAAGUCUGGAGUGAAGUCCCGGGGCUUAACCCCGGAACUGCUUGGGAAACUGUGCGGCUGGAGUGGAGGAGGGGUAAGCGGAAUUCGUAGUGUAGCGGUGAAAUGCGUAGAUAUUAGGAAGAACACCGGUGGCGAAGGCAGCAUACUGGACUGCAACUGACGUUGAGGCUCGAAAGCGUGGGUAGCAAACAGGAUUAGAUACCCGAGUAGUC